This 407-nucleotide ribosomal RNA is filed under the name uncultured bacterium. RNAcentral's name for it is "partial 16S ribosomal RNA". It matches the Rfam family "Bacterial small subunit ribosomal RNA", at positions 30 to 526 of the family's 1533-position model. The record is from RNAcentral.
AUUGAACGCUGGCGGCAGGCCUAACACAUGCAAGUCGAGCGGAGCGGGGGACGGGUGAGUAAUGCUUAGGAAUCUGCCUGGGAGUGGGGGAUAACGUUCGGAAACGGGCGCUAUUACUACAUACUAUUACCAGAGCCUAGGCCGGAUUAGCUAGUGGGUGGGGUAAAGGCCUACCAAGGCGACGAUCCGUAACUGGUCUGAGAGGAUGAUCAGUCACACUGGAACUGAGACACGGUCCAGACUCCUACGGGAGGCAGCAGUGGGGAAUAUUGGACAAUGGGCGAAAGCCUGAUCCAGCCAUGCCGCGUGUGUGAAGAAGGUCUUCGGAUUGUAAAGCACUUUAAGUUGGGAGGCGUUACCAACAGAAUAAGCACCGGCUAACUUCGUGCCAGCCGCCGCGGUAAUAC